RNAcentral lists this unclassified non-coding RNA (211 nucleotides) under Rhizophagus sp. (in: glomeromycetes). Its description in RNAcentral is "partial contains 5.8S ribosomal RNA and internal transcribed spacer 2". The stretch from base 1 to 65 matches the Rfam family "5.8S ribosomal RNA", at positions 84 to 154 of the family's 154-position model. Lineage: Eukaryota; Fungi; Glomeromycota; Glomeromycetes; Glomerales; Glomeraceae. The record is from RNAcentral.
GUGAAUCAUCGAAUUUUUGAACGCAAAUUGCACUCUCUUCGGAGAGUAUGCCUGUUUGAGGGUCAGUAUUAAUAAAAAUCGGUGUGUUGCUUCUUUGUGACGCUCCGGAGUUUGGGUCAUCUUAAUAUCCUUUAGGUUUUAAGAGGCUUAAAAUUGACUUUUUUGGCGCUGUUUGGUGUUCCAAAAUUUCUUUUUUUUUGCUUCUGUCUAA